Non-coding RNA from Opisthocomus hoazin, 45 nucleotides. Lineage: Eukaryota; Metazoa; Chordata; Aves; Opisthocomiformes; Opisthocomidae. The record is from Rfam.
AAAAAGGUUUUUUUAAAAACUACCUUGAGUUGUAAAGGAUUAUGG